GAUGAACGCUGGCGGCGUGCCUAACACAUGCAAGUCGAGCGAUCUUCUUCGGAAGUGAGCGGCGGACGGGUGAGUAACGCGUGGGUAACCUGCCCUGUACACACGGAUAACAUACCGAAAGGUAUGCUAAUACGGGAUAAUAUGCUUUUAUCGCAUGGUAGAAGUAUCAAAGCUCCGGCGGUACAGGAUGGACCCGCGUCUGAUUAGCUAGUUGGUAAGGUAAUGGCUUACCAAGGCGACGAUCAGUAGCCGACCUGAGAGGGUGAUCGGCCACAUUGGAACUGAGACACGGUCCAAACUCCUACGGGAGGCAGCAGUGGGGAAUAUUGCACAAUGGGCGAAAGCCUGAUGCAGCAACGCCGCGUGAGCGAUGAAGGCCUUCGGGUCGUAAGGCUCUGUCCUCAAGGAAGAUAAUGACGGUACUUGAGGAGGAAGCCCCGGCUAACUACGUGCCAGCAGCCGCAGUAA
Molecule: ribosomal RNA, 468 nt
Filed under: uncultured bacterium
Lineage: Bacteria
Description: partial 16S ribosomal RNA
Rfam family: Bacterial small subunit ribosomal RNA
Source: RNAcentral